RNAcentral lists this long non-coding RNA (294 nucleotides) under Mytilus galloprovincialis (Mediterranean mussel). Lineage: Eukaryota; Metazoa; Mollusca; Bivalvia; Mytilida; Mytilidae. The record is from RNAcentral.
GUAUUACCAAUGUUAUUUCAACUGAUCGGGCGGAGCUUACGUUUUAAUUUGCAUAAGGACAGUCUACUUGAAGAUGUGUGUGAUUAGGAUGAUUGCCGUUAUAAUUAUUACUGAUUUCUAAUCACCUAUCAGUGUCACCAAAGAAAUUUACAAAAGAAUGACUGGACACUUCAUAGAUGAGUUUAUCCUAAAACACCUAUCUAUAGAUGGACUGGUUUAUUAUGAGCGAACCGGUUAAACUCCGCCCAGUCAAGUGAAAUAAAUCGAGUAAUAGUUCUGUAAAAAGUUUUUGAU